GAGUUGCCGGACAAAACGGCUAGCCGUUUUGAACAGCGCUUGCGCUGGCCCCGUAGGGGCGAGGCCCAGGGAUAGGCCGAGUUAUUGCCAACGCA
This 95-nucleotide non-coding RNA is filed under the name Klebsiella pneumoniae. RNAcentral describes it as "AaHKsRNA22". It matches the Rfam family "Aggregatibacter sRNA 22". The record is from RNAcentral. Lineage: Bacteria; Pseudomonadati; Pseudomonadota; Gammaproteobacteria; Enterobacterales; Enterobacteriaceae.